UGACAAAAGCAAGACCAGCCAGCAUGGGA
RNAcentral lists this non-coding RNA (29 nucleotides) under Mus musculus (house mouse). Lineage: Eukaryota; Metazoa; Chordata; Mammalia; Rodentia; Muridae. The record is from RNAcentral.